RNAcentral lists this long non-coding RNA (508 nucleotides) under Olea europaea subsp. europaea. Lineage: Eukaryota; Viridiplantae; Streptophyta; Magnoliopsida; Lamiales; Oleaceae. The record is from RNAcentral.
AAAAAGAACAUUUUUAAGCCCCUGUUUGAUUAACAUUAAAUUACAUUACAUUACAUUCCAUUUUUCUCUCUCCUAUUUUCAACCAUACAAUCUUCUAUAAAAUAAUAUUACACGUAAAUCGAAAACUUUACUUUCUUUUUCAACCACUCAUUUUCCUAAAAAAUACUAUUCCCCCCAUUACCAUUUUCAGGUAAUGGGGGCCAAACAGGGGCUAAGUUGGCCCAGGGCAGAGAAAAUUGAGAACGUCUAUGCCAAGUGCAAAUUUGUUGUGCAUGUUAGGUAAGAAUAGCCCAGGAUAAUGGAAAUAGCAAAACUUGGAUAUAGAUUUCACUAAGUAAUAAUCCGGCUCUACUAUGAAAUAAAAAACAGAGAAUUACAAGAUGAGUUUCAAAUAGGAGUUACAAAUGAAAUAUCAAACUCUCUACCUCUCUCAAAAAAAAGGAGCAAACUCUAUCUAUCCCAAAUCCUCACUUGGUGCUCAAUUGCUUUUGGCACACACCCAUUUAAC